Molecule: transfer RNA, 85 nt
Organism: Macrophomina phaseolina MS6
Lineage: Eukaryota; Fungi; Ascomycota; Dothideomycetes; Botryosphaeriales; Botryosphaeriaceae
Rfam family: tRNA
About the family: Transfer RNA (tRNA) molecules are approximately 80 nucleotides in length. Their secondary structure includes four short double-helical elements and three loops (D, anti-codon, and T loops).
Source: Rfam
GCGUCAAUAGCUCAGCGGUAGAGCGUAGGAUUGCAGUUAAAUCGCAGUCAUCCCGAGGUCCCCGGUUCGAUCCCGGGUUGGCGCU